UGGAUGGUCCCGCGGCGUAUUAGCUAGAUGGUGGGGUAACGGCUCACCAUGGCAAUGAUACGUAGCCGACCUGAGAGGGUAAUCGGCCACAUUGGGACUGAGACACGGCCCAAACUCCUACGGGAGGCAGCAGUAGGGAAUCUUCCACAAUGGACGAAAGUCUGAUGGAGCAACGCCGCGUGAGUGAAGAAGGGUUUCGGCUCGUAAAACUCUGUUGUUAAAGAAGUAACAUAUCUGAGAGUAACUGUUCAGGUAUUGACGGUAUUUAACCAGAAAGCCACGGCUAACUACGUGCCAGCAGCCGCGGUAAUACGUAGGUGGCAAGCGUUGUCCGGAUUUAUUGGGCGUAAAGCGAGCGCAGGCGGUUUUUUAAGUCUGAUGUGAAAGCCUUCGGCUCAACCGAAGAAGUGCAUCGGAAACUGGGAAACUUGAGUGCAGAAGAGGACAGUGGAACUCCAUGUGUAGCGGUGAAAUGCGUAGAUAUAUGGAAGAACACCAGUGGCGAAAGCGGCUGUCUGGUCUGUAACUGA
Molecule: ribosomal RNA, 530 nt
Filed under: Lactiplantibacillus plantarum
Lineage: Bacteria; Bacillati; Bacillota; Bacilli; Lactobacillales; Lactobacillaceae
Description: bacterial SSU rRNA
Rfam family: Bacterial small subunit ribosomal RNA
Source: RNAcentral